RNAcentral lists this ribosomal RNA (425 nucleotides) under uncultured bacterium. RNAcentral describes it as "bacterial SSU rRNA". It matches the Rfam family "Bacterial small subunit ribosomal RNA", at positions 354 to 796 of the family's 1533-position model. The record is from RNAcentral.
GUUAGGAAUUUUGCGCAAUGGGGGAAACCCUGACGCAGCAACGCCGCGUGGGUGAUGAAGGCCUUCGGGUCGUAAAGCCCUUUUGUGGGGGACGAUGAUGACGGUACCCCACGAAUAAGCCUCGGCUAACUACGUGCCAGCAGCCGCGGUAAAACGUAGGAGGCGAGCGUUGUCCGGAUUUACUGGGCGUAAAGAGCGCGUAGGCGGUCUUAUGGGUCAGGUGUGAAAUCCUCCGGCUCAACUGGAGGGGGUCACUUGAAACUAUAGGGCUAGAGUGCAGUAGAGGGAGACGGAAUUCCCGGUGUAGUGGUGAAAUGCGUAGAUAUCGGGAGGAACACCAGUGGCGAAAGCGGUCUUCUGGGCUGCAACUGACGCUGAGGUGCGAAAGCGUGGGGAGCGAACCGGAUUAGAUACCCCGGUAGUCC